ACAAUUACGACAAAACGAUGUUGU
Molecule: small nuclear RNA, 24 nt
Filed under: Arabidopsis thaliana (thale cress)
Lineage: Eukaryota; Viridiplantae; Streptophyta; Magnoliopsida; Brassicales; Brassicaceae
Description: snRNA_11985
Source: RNAcentral